CAAAGUGAACUUCAGACUGAGUAUACCUGACGGUGCGAGCAAUGCCUGCCCUGUCCUAGGUACUACGAAGGAGCAGUACCAUGGGCCAUAUCCAUCUGAGAGCCGGCAGGCAGAGGCGACCGGCCGUAGCCGAGCUGCUGCUGCUGUCGCUUGUCAGUUGUGCGAACGCAUUCUGUCCCAUGCGGUGCGUCUGCAAUGACGACAAGCUUACGGUGCAGUGCGCGGGUGCAGCACUCGACGUCAUCCCCAUCACGCUGAACCCCGAGAUUCGCGAGCUGCACCUGACGCGCAACAAUAUCCGCAACAUCAUGUCCGCCUUCAGUGUGUACCAGCAAAUCAAGUUCCUCGACGUGUCCUACAACCAGCUGCGGACUCUGGGAGCGGACAAUUUCCCGCUGCCCGAACUGAAAGUGCUUGUGCUAGACAGCAACUUGGUGGCCGAGUUGGAGGCCAACACCUUCCGAGGUCUUCGAACCCUGCUCGAGCUGCAACUCAGACGCAACGCGCUAACCUACGUGCCGUCCAGAGCGUUUCACGACAUGCGAAGCCUGGAGCGACUCGACAUAUCGCACAAUCAGAUCGCCAAGAUAGACUCGGAUGCCUUCGUCGGCCUGCACAGGCUCAAGUCGCUCAUACUCAGAGACAACAAGCUCAGUCACGUGCCCACACCUGCUUUCCACCAUAUACCCCACCUGCUGGCGCUCGAUCUCGGCCUGAACAGCAUCCCCACCGUCGUUGACAACGCCUUCAGCCAUCUGGUCAGGCUGCGAGAGCUCAACAUGGAUCGCUGUUCAACGGCCAUCUUGGAGCCAGGUGCUUUCUCCAGCCUCGUUUCACUCGCCACUCUGAGACUCCAAGACAAUGCCUUCGUUUCGUUUCCAACGGACGCGCUUUCCGACUUGCAUAGACUCGAAGAAUUGCACUUUGGCCGUAACAGCGUCAGGGAUCUUGCGGAGGACAACUUCAGAGCACUAGAAAACCUGAGGCGUCUAUACAUCGUGCGCUCCGAGCAUCUGGACAGCAUCGAUGAGCGCACUUUCAGACAGUGCUUGCAACUGGAGCAGGUCGUACUCGAAGAGAACCGCAGACUGCGCUACUUGUCUCCGGCAACGUUCACAAACCUGCGCCAGCUCACCAGAGUUAGCCUGAGGGCCAACGGCUUUGAGUCCUUUCAUCCGGACCUACUUCCCUGGAACCAGCUGUCCACAUUCGAUCUCCGAGACAACCCAAUAGUAUGCAACUGUAGCGUCAUAUGGCUGUGGGACCUACUGCGCUCUCUCGACCACACGGGCAACUGGACCAAUGUACGCUGCCACAGCCCGACACACUUGAGCGGCGAACUGCUGCGCACUUUGUCGCACUACGACCUCGACUGCGAUGGUCGCACGAGGCGAAAUAUCCUCAUCGUGGGGCUCUCGACCACCGCCAUCUUCGCUAUUAUCGUGCUAGCGCUAGUGCUCUGGUACCGGCGAAAAGUUUCCAGAGUCCUCAAGAAGCAGCUAGACACGGCUAGUCUUCACGACCCGCACAUGAGCCAGUUCCACAAGUCCGAGAGCUCCUUGACUUUGCCGCCUGCAGCGCAUGUCACGUACAACGGAAAGUUUAAGCCGACGCCUCUGGCGUACAUCUAGGCCGAUAAUGCUCGGCAGCUAUGGCGCGUGCAAGCAGACGCAGCGGCCGCAGCAACACGUCCAUAUCCUCGUCUGCGGAUGCUCUGCGAAGUCACGACGAUCGUCUUUCUUUAGCAGCGACAGAAGGAGCAGCAACAGCUGACGUGACGCGCUCAAGAACGCUUACUUUUUUGCAUUCGUGACUAGCACGGUUCGUAGGAUUUUUUUCUAAAUGUUGACGGACGAUGAUCACAGAUGCAGCUUAGAGUAAAAACAUGAAAGAAACAGAGAUAAGAUAGGAAGAUGCUAAUAAGCAACGGAAUGCAGUACACAACAUAUCUCUUCAGGAGCAGCGCUUUAGUCAUGCUUUCUGACAUUUUUCCUCUGCCGAAAACGCCAGUGUGUGCGGUGCCAACGCCCAUCCCCGAAAGCGGUGUUUUAUGCAAGCGCGACGACGCGCGCAACGCUUUUGUGAAAGACGUGUCCCGCGCACUCUUCUUUCUUUUCGCACUUUGCUGUAUUUGGCAGCGUUGCGGCUUCGAUGAGUGAAUGGCAACGAAAAAAAAAGUGAAUUAGAGGUGAAGUGACUCUGACUCUUGGUGAACGUCGCAGCCGCUUCCCUCGCCUCGACAUAUCCAGAAGUUUUUUUCUCAGCAGCAACUCUGUGUUUGUAUAUUCGUGCAGCAUAAAUGCAAGCUUACGUACAAGGGAAGCUGCGGGGACACAAGGCGGAUGCAAGAGAGAAGACCCGGAAACCGAUCAACACGUUUUUGUAUCGUAUCCAGAAUCCCAAGUUAUGCAGACGCAGGCAAGAUCAUCUUGACAAGGCCUUCCCUACAAGUCAACCAUUAUGCAAAACCAAGAAAAGAACUUUAUAUUUUUAAUGGUGCACAAAGAAUAAAUACCUUGUGCGCGUGUGUAUUAUCAUUUAAAGUAAGUAGGAAGUGAUAUUUUGGCCUUUUUGUUGUAGAUAGUUUUUUUUUUCAUUUUAUUCUACUUUGCCGUGUGAAGGUCUUUGAUAAGUUUUCGUUCUUUGCAGAAAAUAAAUAAACAUGAUUGAUUUCCAGGAAUGUUGC
Molecule: unclassified non-coding RNA, 2686 nt
Filed under: Rhipicephalus microplus (southern cattle tick)
Lineage: Eukaryota; Metazoa; Arthropoda; Arachnida; Ixodida; Ixodidae
Description: reticulon-4 receptor-like, transcript variant X2
Source: RNAcentral